UCUGUAAUAGUCUAUCUAUAGGAUUUUGGAUUGUGGAACCAAAGGAGAAUUAUUCUUACAGA
This 62-nucleotide transfer RNA is filed under the name Chelopistes texanus. RNAcentral's name for it is "tRNA-His". The record is from RNAcentral. Lineage: Eukaryota; Metazoa; Arthropoda; Insecta; Psocodea; Philopteridae.